RNAcentral lists this ribosomal RNA (915 nucleotides) under uncultured Verrucomicrobiota bacterium. RNAcentral's name for it is "bacterial SSU rRNA". It matches the Rfam family "Bacterial small subunit ribosomal RNA", at positions 1 to 890 of the family's 1533-position model. The record is from RNAcentral. Lineage: Bacteria; Pseudomonadati; Verrucomicrobiota.
CCGCGGGAUUAGAGUUUGAUCCUGGCUCAGAACGAACGCUGGCGGCGUGGAUAAGACAUGCAAGUCGAACGAGAUUUUUCGUUGUAGCAAUACGAUGGAAAAUUUAGUGGCGAACGGGUGCUUAACACGUGGGCAACCUGCCGAGAAGUGGGGGAUAGCUCGCCGAAAGGCGAAUUAAUACCGCAUGUGAUUAGAGAGGACAUCUUUUCAAAAUCAAAGUCGGGGCAACCUGACGCUUCUUGUGGGGCCCGCGGCCUAUCAGCUAGUUGGUGAGGUAAAGGCUCACCAAGGCUUUGACGGGUAGCUGGUCUGAGAGGACGACCAGCCACACUGGGACUGAGACACGGCCCAGACACCUACGGGUGGCAGCAGUCGAGAAUUUUUGACAAUGGGGGAAACCCUGAUCGAGCGACGCCGCGUGGAGGAUGAAGGUCUUCGGAUUGUAAACUCCUGUCAUUUGGGAACAAGGCGUACGUGUUAACUGCACGUGCGUUGAUAGUACCAGAAGAGGAAGGGACGGCUAACUCUGUGCCAGCAGCCGCGGUAAUACAGAGGUCCCAAGCGUUGUUCGGAUUCAUUGGGCGUAAAGGGUGCGUAGGCGGCGCGGUAAGUCGGGUGUGAAAUCUCGGAGCUUAACUCCGAAACUGCAUUCGAUACUGCCGUGCUUGAGGACUGGAGAGGAGACUGGAAUUUACGGUGUAGCGGUGAAAUGCGUAGAUAUCGUAAGGAAGACCAGUGGCGAAGGCGGGUCUCUGGACAGUUCCUGACGCUGAGGCACGAAAGUCAGGGGAGCAAACGGGAUUAGAUACCCCGGUAGUCCUGACAGUAAACGGUGCACGUUUGGUGUGGGAGGAUUCGACCCCUUCUGCGCCGGAGCUAACGCGUUAAACGUGCCGCCUGGGGAGUACGGUCGCA